RNAcentral lists this ribosomal RNA (253 nucleotides) under uncultured bacterium. RNAcentral's name for it is "partial 16S ribosomal RNA". It matches the Rfam family "Bacterial small subunit ribosomal RNA", at positions 524 to 776 of the family's 1533-position model. The record is from RNAcentral.
UACGUAGGAGGCAAGCGUUGUCCGGAAUUACUGGGCGUAAAGCGCUCGCAGGUGGUUCGUCGCGUCGUGCGUGAAAGACCCCGGCUCAACUGGGGGGCGUCGUGCGAAACGGGCGGACUGGAGGCCAGUAGGGGGAUGCGGAAUUCCGGGUGUAGUGGUGGAAUGCGUAGAGAUCCGGAGGAACACCAGCGGCGAAGGCGGCAUCCUGGACUGGUCCUGACACUCAUGAGCGAAAGCGUGGGGAGCGAUCCGG